This 442-nucleotide ribosomal RNA is filed under the name uncultured bacterium. RNAcentral's name for it is "partial 16S ribosomal RNA". It matches the Rfam family "Bacterial small subunit ribosomal RNA", at positions 338 to 795 of the family's 1533-position model. The record is from RNAcentral.
CCUACGGGUGGCAGCAGUGGGGGAUAUUGGGCAAUGGGCGCAAGCCUGACCCAGCAACGCCGCGUGAGGGAAGAAGGCUUUCGGGUUGUAAACUUCUGUUAGGAGGGAAGAGAGGAAGACGGUACCUCUUGAAUAAGCCACGGCUAACUACGUGCCAGCAGCCGCGGUAAUACGGAGGUGGCAAGCGUUGUCCGGAUUUACUGGGUGUAAAGGGCGUGCAGCCGGGAAGACAAGUCUGAUGUGAAAUCCCGCGGCCCAACCGCGGAACUGCAUUGGAAACUGUUUUGCUUGAGUGCAGGAGAGGUCAUCGGAAUUCCUAGUGUAGCGGUGAAAUGCGUAGAUAUAAGGAAGAACACCAGUGGCGAAGGCGGAUGACUGGACUGCAACUGACGUUGAGGCGCGAAAGCGUGGGGAGCAAACAGGAUUAGAUACCCGAGUAGUC